AUGUUGCUUUGGUUGCAGGCAUCUCACCAUAAUGCUCCACUGCCCAACCUUUUCAUCUCAUAUGCUUUGGCCCAUAAGGCACCGUACAGAACAGCCACGCCUUACGAUGAGAAUGACACAGCAUCCGCGUACUCCAGCAAGACCGCCUAUGAUCGGAUGGAGAAAUUUAAAGGGAUGGCAAAAGAGUUGAAAGGGCCUGAGUAUGAUGUGACAACAGAGCCUCUUGACCACGCGUUGAUCAUGAUCUCUGGAGAAGGCACGAAACAUGGCAAGGAAGCAAUUGUAGGAGACAUGUUCCCGAGUUCCUCCCGUAGCUCUCUCCCUGAAUACAAAGCUCGGUUAGGUAUCUCAAAAUCUUCUACAUGUAAACGCUCGACUCCAGCUAUGGUUGAGAUGGAGCCCGGCUAG
RNAcentral lists this ribosomal RNA (408 nucleotides) under Triticum aestivum (bread wheat). RNAcentral's name for it is "partial small subunit ribosomal RNA". The record is from RNAcentral. Lineage: Eukaryota; Viridiplantae; Streptophyta; Magnoliopsida; Poales; Poaceae.